This 73-nucleotide transfer RNA is filed under the name Myotis davidii. It matches the Rfam family "tRNA". From Rfam's summary of the family: Transfer RNA (tRNA) molecules are approximately 80 nucleotides in length. The record is from Rfam by way of RNAcentral. Lineage: Eukaryota; Metazoa; Chordata; Mammalia; Chiroptera; Vespertilionidae.
GCCGAUUUGGCUCAGUGGAUAGAGCGUCAGCCUGCAGACUGAAGGGUUCUGGGUUCGAUUCCAGGCAAGGGCA